CCUACGGGGGGCAGCAGUGGGGAAUAUUGCACAAUGGGCGCAAGCCUGAUGCAGCCAUGCCGCGUGUGUGAAGAAGGCCUUCGGGUUGUAAAGCACUUUCAGCGGGGAGGAAGGCGGUGAGGUUAAUAACCUCAUCGAUUGACGUUACCCGCAGAAGAAGCACCGGCUAACUCCGUGCCAGCAGCCGCGGUAAUACGGAGGGUGCAAGCGUUAAUCGGAAUUACUGGGCGUAAAGCGCACGCAGGCGGUCUGUCAAGUCGGAUGUGAAAUCCCCGGGCUCAACCUGGGAACUGCAUUCGAAACUGGCAGGCUAGAGUCUUGUAGAGGGGGGUAGAAUUCCAGGUGUAGCGGUGAAAUGCGUAGAGAUCUGGAGGAAUACCGGUGGCGAAGGCGGCCCCCUGGACAAAGACUGACGCUCAGGUGCGAAAGCGUAGGGAGCAAACAGGAUUAGAUACCCGUGUAGUC
This 465-nucleotide ribosomal RNA is filed under the name uncultured Klebsiella sp. RNAcentral describes it as "bacterial SSU rRNA". It matches the Rfam family "Bacterial small subunit ribosomal RNA", at positions 338 to 795 of the family's 1533-position model. The record is from RNAcentral. Lineage: Bacteria; Pseudomonadati; Pseudomonadota; Gammaproteobacteria; Enterobacterales; Enterobacteriaceae.